GAUGAACGCUGACAGAAUGCUUAACACAUGCAAGUCAACUUGAACUUCGGUUUGGGUGGCGGACGGGUGAGUAACGCGUAAAGAACUUGCCUCACAGAUAGGGACAACAUUUGGAAACGAAUGCUAAUACCUGAUAUUAUGAUUUUAGGGCAUCCUAGGAUUAUGAAAGCUAUAUGCGCUGUGAGAGAGCUUUGCGUCCCAUUAGCUAGUUGGAGAGGUAACGGCUCACCAAGGCGAUGAUGGGUAGCCGGCCUGAGAGGGUGAUCGGCCACAAGGGGACUGAGACACGGCCCUUACUCCUACGGGAGGCAGCAGUGGGGAAUAUUGGACAAUGGACCAAGAGUCUGAUCCAGCAAUUCUGUGUGCACGAUGAAGUUUUUCGGAAUGUAAAGUGCUUUCAGUUGGGAAGAAAAAAAUGACGGUACCAACAGAAGAAGUGACGGCUAAAUACGUGCCAGCAGCCGCGGUAAUACGUAUGUCACAAGCGUUAUCCGGAUUUAUUGGGCGUAAAGCGCGUCUAGGUGGUUAUGUAAGUCUGAUGUGAAAAUGCAGGGCUCAACUCUGUAUUGCGUUGGAAACUGUAUAACUAGAGUACUGGAGAGGUAAGCGGAACUACAAGUGUAGAGGUGAAAUUCGUAGAUAUUUGUAGGAAUGCCGAUGGGGAAGCCAGCUUACUGGACAGAUACUGACGCUGAAGCGCGAAAGCGUGGGUAGCACACAGG
This 722-nucleotide ribosomal RNA is filed under the name uncultured Fusobacterium sp. Its description in RNAcentral is "bacterial SSU rRNA". It matches the Rfam family "Bacterial small subunit ribosomal RNA", at positions 28 to 776 of the family's 1533-position model. Lineage: Bacteria; Fusobacteriati; Fusobacteriota; Fusobacteriia; Fusobacteriales; Fusobacteriaceae. The record is from RNAcentral.